AGAUCUCAUAGAUCCGUGAACCUUGAACCCGAAAACCUUCGAAUCCGAAAUAUUAGACCCGAAAUCUAUCAUCUUGGACUGUUGGACAGAUAUUGAGCGUGUUUCAGGUGUAUUGACUGUUACUGUUCUUGUUCGUUGACUUAGGGUACUUAUAGUUGUGCUUCUUUCAGGUACUCAGGCUAAUCAAGGAUAAAGAUUGUUAUGAUAGGCUUGGACUUCGGAGAUUAGUGCUCCUUCAUUUGUUGUCACACUUUAAGGCUAAAUGCCUUGGAUUAUU
Long non-coding RNA from Erigeron canadensis, 277 nucleotides. RefSeq lists it as uncharacterized. The transcript has 3 exons. NCBI's taxonomy places the organism in Eukaryota, Viridiplantae, Streptophyta, Magnoliopsida, Asterales, Asteraceae. The record is from RefSeq and is a predicted model, not a curated record.